UGGGGAAUCUUGGACAAUGGGCGCAAGCCUGAUCCAGCCAUGCCGCGUGGAUGAUGAAGGCCUUAGGGUUGUAAAAUCCUUUCGUGGGGGACGAUAAUGACGGUACCCCAAGAAGAAGCUCCGGCUAACUUCGUGCCAGCAGCCGCGGUAAUACGAAGGGGGCUAGCGUUGUUCGGAUUUACUGGGCGUAAAGCGCGUGUAGGCGGGUCGUUAAGUUGGGGGUGAAAUCCCGAGGCUCAACCUCGGAACUGCCUUCAAAACUGGCGACCUGGACUCAAGCAGAGGCAAGUGGAAUUGCGAGUGUAGAGGUGAAAUUCGUAGAUAUUCGCAGGAACACCAGUGGCGAAGGCGACUUGCUGGGCUUGUAGUGACGCUGAGACGCGAAAGCGUGGGGAGCAAACAGGAUUAGAUACCCCUGUAGUCCCUGAGCGGGCUGGCAAGGCGCAU
RNAcentral lists this ribosomal RNA (447 nucleotides) under uncultured bacterium. Its description in RNAcentral is "bacterial SSU rRNA". It matches the Rfam family "Bacterial small subunit ribosomal RNA", at positions 355 to 825 of the family's 1533-position model. The record is from RNAcentral.